RNAcentral lists this small RNA (462 nucleotides) under Arabidopsis thaliana (thale cress). RNAcentral's name for it is "ATSL204280". The record is from RNAcentral. Lineage: Eukaryota; Viridiplantae; Streptophyta; Magnoliopsida; Brassicales; Brassicaceae.
CUGUCUUUGUAUCUUCUAACAAAGAAACACUACUUAGGCUUUUAGGAUAAGAUUGCGGUUUAAGUUCUUAUACUCAAUAAUACACAUGACAUCAAGUUAUAUUCGACUCUAAAACACUAAUCAAGCUUCUUCUUGCUUCUCAAAGCUUUGAUGGUUUAGCCGAAGUCCAUAUGAGUCUUUAUCUUUGUAUCUUCUAACAAGGAAACACUACUUAGGCUUUUAGGAUAUGGUUGCAGUUUAAGUUCUUAUACUCAAUCAUACAGAUGACAUCAAGUCAUAUUCGACUCCAGAACACUAACCAAGCUUCUUCUUGCUUCUAAAAGCUUUGAUGGUUUAGCCGAAGUCCAUAUGAGUCUUUGUCUUUGUAUCUUCUAACAAGGAAACACUACUUAGGCUUUUAGGAUAAGGUUGCGGUUUAAGUUCUUAUACUCAAUCAUUCACAUGACAUCAAGUCAUAUUCGA